GAUGAACGCUGGCGGCGUGCCUAAUACAUGCAAGUCGAGCGAACAGACGAGGAGCUUGCUCCUCUGACGUUAGCGGCGGACGGGUGAGUAACACGUGGAUAACCUACCUAUAAGACUGGGAUAACUUCGGGAAACCGGAGCUAAUACCGGAUAAUAUAUUGAACCGCAUGGUUCAAUAGUGAAAGACGGUUUUGCUGUCACUUAUAGAUGGAUCCGCGCCGCAUUAGCUAGUUGGUAAGGUAACGGCUUACCAAGGCAACGAUGCGUAGCCGACCGGAGAGGGUGAUAGGCCACACUGGAACUGAGACACGGUCCAGACUCCUACGGGAGGCAGCAGUAGGGAAUCUUCCGCAAUGGGCGAAAGCCUGACGGAGCAACGCCGCGUGAGUGAUGAAGGUCUUCGGAUCGUAAAACUCUGUUAUUAGGGAAGAACAAAUGUGUAAGUAACUAUGCACGUCUUGACGGUACCUAAUCAGAAAGCCACGGCUAACUACGUG
Molecule: ribosomal RNA, 497 nt
Filed under: uncultured bacterium
Lineage: Bacteria
Description: partial 16S ribosomal RNA
Rfam family: Bacterial small subunit ribosomal RNA
Source: RNAcentral